Molecule: long non-coding RNA, 2412 nt
Organism: Oreochromis niloticus (Nile tilapia)
Lineage: Eukaryota; Metazoa; Chordata; Actinopteri; Cichliformes; Cichlidae
Source: Ensembl
GGAACUCUUCCUCACCAGUUUCCUCUGAAACGCAGCGAUGACCCGUUGACUGCUCACAGGAGCAUUACGAUCCACACACCAAGUUUUGGGGAUGGUUUGAACAUAAUGGCGGUCUGCUACUGAGAGUCCGCCAGGUGGCCGUAACAACAACCAUCUAUGAUUGUUGUAAUUGUUAGGAUGCCUGGGUCGACCCAGAGGUUUUGAGUUUAUUAUAUUAUUUAUCAUUUCUAGUCUUUGGUUUCUUUGUUAGAGUUCUGUUUUAUGGUUUAUGUCUCUGUGUUCUGUAGUUGCUCUGUCUCCUCUGUCGGCUGUAUCCCCUUGUUAAGUUCGCGUCUCUGUGUUAUGUUUCUUGUUUUACUUUGAAAGUCCGUGUUUCAUGUUAGUGUAUCUGGUUUUGCUUCCCUUGUCUCGUUAGCCCUGAUUUGCCCCAGCUGUGUUUCCCUCCUGUCUCCCAUUUCCUGAUUACUCCCUCUGUGUAUUUAAGCCCUGUGUUCUCUUUGGUCUGUGUUGCGAUCUACUCUUAUCUGCCCUUAUCUAGCUGUGUGUUUUGUCUGCCCGUGUAAGUUAUUUGGAUUCUUACUUUUGUUCUGUUUGAGUUCAGCAUUAAAGCUGUUUGAGUUUAUGUUUGUCUCUGGAGUCUGCACUUUGGGUCCUUUUCCUGCCUGCACACAGCCGUCAUAUAACAGAAAUUAAGUGUCCAAUGGGCGGGAAAGGUGAGCCAGGUGCUGGGCGGCUGUUUAUGGGCUGUCCUCCUGGAGGAACCUAACUAACCUAACCCAACUAAGUAACACGAGCAGGUUCUAUUUGUGUUUGCAGACGUUUUCUGUCAUUACACGGUGCUAAUGUGAGUGAGCAACGAUGCCUUCACUUCUCUCACUCAGGUUAAGGAGUCGAGCGAAUUCUUGUCCCGUCGCUCCAUCCUCACGUGUAACGCUGGAUUGGUGCAUCCUACAUAUAACCUUUAAUACGUUUCUUUUUUGUCUGUUUCUGGUCAUUUCACGUCACUCCCACAGUCAGCGGACUUCUUUUUGCCCCCCUCCCAGUGCUCAGUGCACCCACCCAGGACUCUGGGUGGAUUUUCCCUUUAAAUACAGCAUGAACAAACAAAGAGUUUAGGUGAAGCAGCAGGUCGAGGGCAAAGAUGAGCUCAGACGUCGCCGCUUUCCCACAGUCUGAAACACAGAAAGAAAGACAAGACAGUAGAACAGACGUCCCGACUCCCUUAAAGGGUAAAAAACAGCAGCGACAGAGCUGCUGGAGUUUCUAAUCCUAUGUAAACAGACUUGGUGUAAGGCAAGGAGGAAGAGGAGGAUACAGUUAGAGAGAGACGAGGGAGAGGAGGAGGAAGAGCAGAUGGUUGAAAAGAAUUAAAGGGCUCAGACAGUCAGACAAGUUCUUUUCGACCGAAGAAAGAAAAAUCCAAACCAACGGCUCUGCUAAAGUAUGGAGGCUCAGAGACGCCAUUUUCAGUCCAUCAUUGUUAAUCAUCAGUGUUUUUAAACUGGAAUUUAUUUUCCUUUGUUUACAUCAUACAUGUUCCUGCUUUAUUGUUGGUGGAGUUAAGUUUAGAAAGACCAUCUAACCCUGACAAACACCUGAUUCAAUUAGAUAUUAAAUAUCCUGCUUUGUGAUUAUCCACUUCUAGGAAAGAAUUAUUCAAAGUUUAACAUGUUUUUAUUGUGUAAAAUGAACGGGGCUCACAAUGUUUAGAUCAAUAAUUCAAUGUAAUUCAAGGUUUUUGUGAUUUUACAUUACAAAAUUGCAAAAUGCAUGUUUCAUUUGAAAGCUGUUGAAUUUUUUAUUAAAACAUAAAAGAAAAACUGUGUUUAGAAAAAAGGCUCACUCAGUUUGUGACUGAAGCUGUGAUUCUAUAUGAAACAUAAAUCUUAUUUAUAAAGCAAAGUUUUGUCUAUGAUUAAGAAAUAUUUGACUUUCUGAUAUAAAAAUACAGUUUUGAGGAAACAUGCUUUAAUGUCAUGCUCGAACAUUUAUUAACACAACGACGCACGGUAAAUAAAACUGCACAAAAACAGAUUAGCUGCUCAUUAGCUGUAAGUCUGAACAGUUUCAGAGCGAAGCCGUGCAGACUGAGAUUUUACUUUGAAGGUUUUCAUAAAAAGGAAGAAAAAACUACAUCUGGAUCAUUUUGUUUGUCAGUGUUAGAAAAAUAAAAGCUUCCUUCCUGUAACAGGAUGUCACGUUUCAGUCAUUUAUUUUGAAAGUUUAUCAGAUAUUUUAAGAAGAUGUAAGAGACUGAUCGAGUUCACUUGAUUGUGGAUAAAUAAUGAACAGGAUACUUUGGCCCACUGUCAGCUCGUUAUCACUCUUUAUUUGGCUCUCAGGUUCGUCUGCAUGAAUGACGACACUUCCUGCCCGUGUGAGCCUCUGGUACUCCACACGGUGACCUGCUAC